GAAUUGUCACGACCUAGAACUCCCAUCAGGCCCGUGACAACCAUAGCGACGUCCCAAUAGACAUUCUUUACUCGGAAUGUCAAUCGAAACCUUGCAAGGCUUAACAUCAGUUUUUCCUGCUUCCCCUAUGAGUAUUAGUCACUAAAAUUAUGUUUUGAGAGAUUAUAAACAUUUUCCAAAUCAAAACAAUAGAAAAACAAUUUUUUUCUCACAGGGGCAUUUUGGUCAUUUUUCCUCAAAAAUCUCGAAAUCCGCUAAAAAUGUAGUAUGCGAGUACAAAACUCAUAAUUCAUAAUCAAAAAUAAGUUUAAGCAUCUAAAACCUUUAUUUAAAAUGAAAUUAUGAUUAUUUGGAUAUAAUAAAAAUAUUUAAUAAAAUAUUCUAUUUUCUUAUAAAACAAUAUUUAUAAAGUUACAAGUAAAUAAUUUUUGUAGCGUAAAAGCUAAAUAAAUUCAUACAUACUAUAAUUUAGAUAACCAAAGUAUAACAUUUAAUUUAUAGUGACACGUAGGCGCACGAACGACCAAAAGUAUCAAAAGAGGUAAACCUACAGUUUUUUAGGAUGCAAGUCCGACUGUAGCCCUCAGCGAAAUGAGCUAUCUACCGACUAUCCUGAGCCUGAAAUGGGUGGAAAGAAGGGUGGUGAGAUUAUAUAAUCCCAGUGAGUAAACAGAUACCAUCAAAAAUAUCUAAAACUGAGUAAAUGGAGACAGAUAGAAUAAUUUAACAUACUAUAAUUCAUCACCUUUCAACUUGUUUCAAACAAAUAAAAUCAAUUCAUAUAAAUCGAGUAAUCAACAUGGCUUAUAAAUUUCUUAAAACUUUGGCUCGUGCCAAAACCAUUCUCAUACCUAGUUAUCAGGGAUGCCUUGAUCAAGGGCUAUCCCAACCGAGUCUGCCAAGGUUGUUAAAAAGUUAUAUACACAUAAAUCAUGUUUUUAUUUUGAAAACAUAGCCGUUCCUUGGCGUUGGUCGAGUUCCCCUCACGUGGUGGUUGGGCGUGAAGUGAACUUUAAAGUUUGACCUCGGGAGUUACCCUACGCACCUUUCCAAUCGAGGUAUAUAUAUAUGACCAGGUUCCGUGACCCUUUAAUAGGUUGGUCCACAGAACCAGCCCACUGCAGCAAGCUAAACCCACCAUACAAUAAAAAUUCAACAGCAUGAUAUGACAAUUUUAUCAUUAUCCAGCCUAUCAAGGCAAACAACAGUUUAUGCAUUUCAACACAAAUACCAAUUCAACCAUUCAUGCCAAUAUUGUCAUAAGCCAAUCAAUUAGAACCAUAAAUUCACAAUACAUCAAAUGGUCUCCAAUUACUCUAUUUUCAAAGCCUUCAUUCAAUUUCAAGACCAUUUAUGAAAUCAUUUUAUUUAAACACAUUUUGUUUAUAAAACCUAAAAAUUUACCAUUUAAACUCAUUUUUCAUAAAAUCACAAAAUUGGAUAAAAACCACUCUAGAUAAUUAAGAUGAUAGUAAGGUUACUCACAAUGUCUAGAGUGUGAAUUUUCAAAGUACUCUGACUACUGGUCCUCGGAUGCAAUUUCCUUGCCUUUAUCGGAGGACUCGCCACCUUGACAUAGUACAAAAUUGAGAAACUUACUACAUUGGUACUAAAUCGAAAUUAAACUAAUUUAGACUAUUAAUGCAUGAUAAGGAAUGCAAAAUGCACGGGUAACCAUCUAAACCCGAUAUUGACCUAAUUCAUCUUAUCACACCGAUUAAUUGGCCAAUACGUCCAAUUUAGCUCCAAAUUGCUCCAUUUCUUUUCCAAUACCUUAAUUCACCAAACACAAAUCAAAUAACCUAAAAUUUGGCAAAACCAAAAUUCACUUUUUUUCUUAGCAUUUUUGGUUAAUAAUGGUGCAUUAACACUGUGAUUUUUCCUACUACUUUUCCACACCAUAAUUCAUCAUUUUCUAACCAAUUCUCUUAAAAUAAAAAAUCAAAUUCAUCCUCACUCAAUACAAGGUCGGUUCGGCCAUUGAUGGGUGAUGGGGAAAAUGAAUUCCUUUCUUGUUGUUUUGCUUCUAGACAUUAUAAACUAACUAAAAACACUAACAUAACUUGAAAUCAAAUCAAUCCAAUAUCAUUCUCUCUCCAUACCCAUUCAGCUAGCCAUGAAUUCGCCAUUAAAACAUGAAAUUUAACCAUGGAAAAUAAGGAGAAAUGCUUAAGGAAAAUAGAUUUCAAGUUUAAAUUGCGAAAUCCUACCUUUUUCACUAGUUUUCCUUGAUUUUCCACACUUUUUCUCUUGAAAUUCUCCACCUAGGGUUCAUGUUCUUUCUUUUCUUCCUUUGUUCUUCUU
RNAcentral lists this long non-coding RNA (2304 nucleotides) under Theobroma cacao (cacao). RNAcentral describes it as "long non-coding RNA (TCAC_LNC000495)". Lineage: Eukaryota; Viridiplantae; Streptophyta; Magnoliopsida; Malvales; Malvaceae. The record is from RNAcentral.